CAUUCGACGCUGCUGGCUUACGUGGUGGUUGAUAUCCGUGUCCAGUGACGUUGAUUGCAG
RNAcentral lists this microRNA precursor (60 nucleotides) under Drosophila ananassae. RNAcentral's name for it is "Dan-Mir-978-v2_pre stem-loop". Lineage: Eukaryota; Metazoa; Arthropoda; Insecta; Diptera; Drosophilidae. The record is from RNAcentral.